UCAUAGCCUUUCACAUUCUUAGA
RNAcentral lists this microRNA (23 nucleotides) under Monodelphis domestica (gray short-tailed opossum). RNAcentral describes it as "Mdo-Mir-7359-P1b_3p* (star (passenger))". The record is from RNAcentral. Lineage: Eukaryota; Metazoa; Chordata; Mammalia; Didelphimorphia; Didelphidae.